Molecule: ribosomal RNA, 460 nt
Filed under: uncultured bacterium
Lineage: Bacteria
Description: partial 16S ribosomal RNA
Rfam family: Bacterial small subunit ribosomal RNA
Source: RNAcentral
CCUACGGGGAGCUGCAGUGAGGAAUAUUGGUCAAUGGUCGGGAGACUGAACCAGCCAAGCCGCGUGAGGGAUGAAGGUACAGAGUAUCGUAAACCUCUUUUGUCAGGGAACAAAGGCGGGGACGUGUCCCCGUAUGAGUGUACCUGAAGAAAAAGCAUCGGCUAACUCCGUGCCAGCAGCCGCGGUAAUACGGAGGAUGCGAGCGUUAUCCGGAUUUAUUGGGUUUAAAGGGGGGGCAGGCGGGCAGAUAAGUCAGCCGUCAAAUCCCGGGGCUCAACCCCGGCCCCGCCGUUGAAACUGGCAGUCUCGAGUUGGAGAGAAGUAUGCGGAAUGCGCGGUGUAGCGGUGAAAUGCGUAGAUAUCGCGCAGAACUCCGAUGGCGAAGGCAGAAUGCCGGCUCCACACUGACGCUGAGGCACGAAAGCGUGGGUAGCGAACAGGAUUAGAUACCCGUGUAGUC